CAGGUUUACCUGUGUGACUGCGUACCUUUUGUAUAAUGGGUCAGCGACUUAUAUUCUGUAGCAAGGUUAACCGAAUAGGGGAGCCGGAGGGAAACCGAGUCUUAAUUGGGCGUUAAGUUGCAGGGUAUAGACCCGAAACCCGGUGAUCUAGCCAUGGGCAGGUUGAAGGUUGGGUAACACUAACUGGAGGACCGAACCGACUAAUGUUGAAAAAUUAGCGGAUGACCUGUGGCUGGGGGUGAAAGGCCAAUCAAACCGGGAGAUAGCUGGUUCUCCCCGAAAGCUAUUUAGGUAGCGCCUCGUGAAUUCAUCUCCGGGGGUAGAGCACUGUUUCGGCUAGGGGGCCAUCCCGGCUUACCAACCCGAUGCAAACUGCGAAUACCGGAGAAUGUUAUCACGGGAGACACACGGCGGGUGCUAACGUCCGUCGUGAAGAGGGAAACAACCCAGACCGCCAGCUAAGGUCCCAAAGUCAUGGUUAAGUGGGAAACGAUGUGGGAAGGCCCAGACAGCCAGGAUGUUGGCUUAGAAGCAGCCAUCAUUUAAAGAAAGCGUAAUAGCUCACUGGUCGAGUCGGCCUGCGCGGAAGAUGUAACGGGGCUAAACCAUGCACCGAAGCUGCGGCAGCGACGCUUAUGCGUUGUUGGGUAGGGGAGCGUUC
This 661-nucleotide ribosomal RNA is filed under the name Salmonella enterica. RNAcentral describes it as "partial 23S ribosomal RNA". It matches the Rfam family "Bacterial large subunit ribosomal RNA", at positions 580 to 1241 of the family's 2925-position model. Lineage: Bacteria; Pseudomonadati; Pseudomonadota; Gammaproteobacteria; Enterobacterales; Enterobacteriaceae. The record is from RNAcentral.